Long non-coding RNA from Topomyia yanbarensis, 212 nucleotides. RefSeq lists it as uncharacterized. The record is from RefSeq and is a predicted model, not a curated record. Lineage: Eukaryota; Metazoa; Arthropoda; Insecta; Diptera; Culicidae. The transcript has 3 exons.
CGCUCAGCCAAAAUACUGAACCUUCUUUCUGUCCGUGAAUACCAACGAAGUUAGAAGUGCGCGACGGUUCUAAAUUUUUCUGCUUAAAAUAUUUUUGAGUCUAAGAAUAAAAUUGUUACGAAUAAAAGGAGGUGACAUAUACAUACGGUGUUAAAAGUAAAAAUUUACGAGUGUAAAAUUGGCUAAAGCUAAAGGCACGAAAUUUGUUAAAA